CACUGCCGAGAAAAGCCUCUAGAUAGAAAAUAGGUGCCCGUACCGCAAACCGACACAGGUAGUCAAGAUGAGAAUUCUAAGGUGAGCGAGCGAACUCUCGUUAAGGAACUCGGCAAAAUGACCCCGUAACUUCGGGAGAAGGGGUGCUCUUUAGGGUUAACGCCCAGAAGAGCCGCAGUGAAUAGGCCCAAGCGACUGUUUAUCAAAAACACAGGUCUCUGCUAAACCGUAAGGUGAUGUAUAGGGGCUGACGCCUGCCCGGUGCUGGAAGGUUAAGAGGAGUGGUUAGCUUCUGCGAAGCUACGAAUCGAAGCCCCAGUAAACGGCGGCCGUAACUAUAACGGUCCUAAGGUAGCGAAAUUCCUUGUCGGGUAAGUUCCGACCCGCACGAAAGGCGUAACGAUUUGGGCACUGUCUCAACGAGAGACUCGGUGAAAUCAUAGUACCUGUGAAGAUGCAGGUUACCCGCGACAGGACGGAAAGACCCCGUGGAGCUUUACUGUAGCCUGAUAUUGAAAUUCGGCACAGCUUGUACAGGAUAGGUAGGAGCCUUUGAAACGUGAGCGCUAGCUUACGUGGAGGCGCUGGUGGGAUACUACCCUAGCUGUGUUGGCUUUCUAACCCGCACCACUUAUCGUGGUGGGAGACAGUGUCAGGCGGGCAGUUUGACUGGGGCGGUCGCCUCCUAAAAGGUAACGGAGGCGCUCAAAGGUUCCCUCAGAAUGGUUGGAAAUCAUUCAUAGAGUGUAAAGGCAUAAGGGAGCUUGACUGCGAGACCUACAAGUCGAGCAGGGUCGAAAGACGGACUUAGUGAUCCGGUGGUUCCGCAUGGAAGGGCCAUCGCUCAACGGAUAAAAGCUACCCCGGGGAUAACAGGCUUAUCUCCCCCAAGAGUUCACAUCGACGGGGAGGUUUGGCACCUCGAUGUCGGCUCA
This 935-nucleotide ribosomal RNA is filed under the name Staphylococcus aureus. RNAcentral describes it as "partial 23S ribosomal RNA". It matches the Rfam family "Bacterial large subunit ribosomal RNA", at positions 1603 to 2539 of the family's 2925-position model. The record is from RNAcentral. Lineage: Bacteria; Bacillati; Bacillota; Bacilli; Caryophanales; Staphylococcaceae.